Molecule: ribosomal RNA, 264 nt
Filed under: Escherichia coli
Lineage: Bacteria; Pseudomonadati; Pseudomonadota; Gammaproteobacteria; Enterobacterales; Enterobacteriaceae
Description: partial 16S ribosomal RNA
Rfam family: Bacterial small subunit ribosomal RNA
Source: RNAcentral
CUGAGAGGAUGACCAGCCACACUGGAACUGAGACACGGUCCAGACUCCUACGGGAGGCAGCAGUGGGGAAUAUUGCACAAUGGGCGCAAGCCUGAUGCAGCCAUGCCGCGUGUAUGAAGAAGGCCUUCGGGUUGUAAAGUACUUUCAGCGGGGAGGAAGGGAGUAAAGUUAAUACCUUUGCUCAUUGACGUUACCCGCAGAAGAAGCACCGGCUAACUCCGUGCCAGCAGCCGCGGUAAUACGGAGGGUGCAAGCGUUAAUCGG